UAGGUUAAGAGCGGCAGGUUACGGUCACUAGGUUAAGAGCGGCAGGUUACGGUCACUAGGUUAAGAGCUACAGGUAACAGUCACUAGGUUAAGAGCUGAGGUAACGGUCACUAGUAAUGGUCAGUAGGUUACGAGCUGAGGUAAUGGUCACUAGGUUAAGAGUGGCAGGUAACGGUCACCAGGUUAAGAGCGGCACGUAACAGUCACUAGGUUAAGAGCGGCAGGUAAUGGUCACUAGGUUAAGAGCUGAGGUAACGGUCACUAGGUUAAGAGCUGCAGGUAAUGGUCACUAGGUUAAGAGCUGAGGUAACGGUCGCUAGGUUACGAGCUGAGGUAACGGUCACUAGGUUAAGAGCGGCAGGUAAUGGUCACUAGGUUAAGAGCGGCAGGUUACGGUCACUAGGUUAAGAGCGGCAGGUUACGGUCACUAGGUUAAGAGCUACAGGUAACAGUCACUAGGUUAAGAGCUGAGGUAACGGUCACUAGUAAUGGUCACUAGGUUAAGAGCUGAGGUAACGGUCACUAGGUUAAGAGCUGAGGU
Molecule: long non-coding RNA, 541 nt
Organism: Sinocyclocheilus rhinocerous
Lineage: Eukaryota; Metazoa; Chordata; Actinopteri; Cypriniformes; Cyprinidae
Exons: 7
Source: RefSeq, a predicted model, not a curated record